RNAcentral lists this ribosomal RNA (405 nucleotides) under uncultured beta proteobacterium. RNAcentral describes it as "bacterial SSU rRNA". It matches the Rfam family "Bacterial small subunit ribosomal RNA", at positions 9 to 417 of the family's 1533-position model. The record is from RNAcentral. Lineage: Bacteria; Pseudomonadati; Pseudomonadota; Betaproteobacteria.
GAGUUUGAUCCUGGCUCAGAUUGAACGCUGGCGGCAUGCCUUACACAUGCAAGUCGAACGGCAGCGCGGGAGCAAUCCUGGCGGCGAGUGGCGAACGGGUGAGUAAUACAUCGGAACGUGCCCAAUCGUGGGGGAUAACGCAGCGAAAGCUGUGCUAAUACCGCAUACGAUCUACGGAUGAAGCAGGGGACCGCAAGGCCUUGCGCGACUGGAGCGGCCGAUGGCAGAUUAGGUAGUUGGUGGGGUAAAGGCUCACCAAGCCGACGAUCUGUAGCUGGUCUGAGAGGACGACCAGCCACACUGGGACUGAGACACGGCCCAGACUCCUACGGGAGGCAGCAGUGGGGAAUUUUGGACAAUGGGCGCAAGCCUGAUCCAGCCAUGCCGCGUGCAGGAUGAAGGCCU